This 4150-nucleotide long non-coding RNA is filed under the name Sarcophilus harrisii (Tasmanian devil). RNAcentral's name for it is "lncRNA (ENSSHAG00000030615.1)". The record is from RNAcentral. Lineage: Eukaryota; Metazoa; Chordata; Mammalia; Dasyuromorphia; Dasyuridae.
CUUAUAUUUGGAUAGAGUUCUGUAUUUUCCAAAAGGAUCUCAAUCCAUUAUCUUAUUUGAACUUGACAACAACAUCAUAGUGUAGAUAAUAUAUAUGUGUCUUUGUAUAUGCAUGAAGAUUGUACUUAUCUGCAUAUGAGAGGAAUAGUACAGCUUGAAUCAUUUGGCCAGGGUUAUAAAUGUCCCCCACAUGUACGAAGAAAGCAUGUCCUUUCCUUGGCUCAAAAGAUCUACUAGGUAAUAGAGCUUAAUAAAAUUGAAUUCUAUUUUUUUCCCUUCAGCUGUCAGAGCUUUGGGUUAAGAAGACCAUAGUUUUAUGAGGAUGAAGCUGGAACAGAUGCAAGAAACCAGAUCAUCUACUCCUUCAUUUCAUAGUUGAAGGAAUUGAAACCAAGGAGUUAAUUUUUUUCCCCAAGAUCAUACAGGUAGUAAAGUAUUAGGGAAAGGAAUUGAACCUGUAUUUGGACUUAAUUUUUCUGACGAAACAACCAGCAUCCUUCACAUUUUUAUGGUUCUAUCUGAAUGGAAUAAACUGAUUGAAGACUUCUUAUAAGAAUGUGGCCUUAACCUAUGUCUUAAUUGUGACUUGAGAUUUUGUAAUAGAUUGAGAAUUAAUUUGGCACAGAAGAUAAUCCAGCUGAGAAAAGUUUGAAUUCAAUGAGGAACAGUCCAGGGGAUAUGGGCCACAGAGCUCUGACUCAGACUUUGCCUAUCUGCCAAAAUCAAGAAAGAAAAAAAAGAUGUAGAGAGGAGUGCGAGGGGAGAGAAGUCUCAUUAACUCAUCUUGAAAAUAAGAGAUAAGGAAGAGAUGACUUUCAUGAACAAUUCAAAUUCUAAAAUACUAUAAAGGCAAAUCACUCUUUAACCUAAUUUUCUCCAAUCUUAACAACCACAAGUUCUUCAAACAUUCUUCUUGGGACCCACUUUCCAUUUCUUGAGUCAUCUUUGCCUCUCUUUCUUGCCACUUUUAUUGAUUUCCCGUAUCCCUUUACAGGUGUGGUGAUACACAUUAUACUUACUUAAAUUUUGAAUAAUGAACUUUUCCCCCUACAUGGAGCCCCAAAUACUAUAAAAUGAAUUGUAUAUGAAAAGUAUGAAAACCUUCAAAAUUUUUAGAUUAUGUUUCACUAAAGGGAUUUAUUUGAAUGUUUUCAUGACCACCCCUGAAUAGUCUGUGUCAACCAAAAGCUAUCUAGCCCCAAACUAGGAACAGAGUCCAGGAUAUAUAUUUUGGAUAUUGAUUGAUACACUGUAUUGAUCCAUAGUCACAUAAGUGUACAGAAUUUGAACUCAUGCCAUUCUAAAUUAUGAUUGUUCAAUGCCAAGAGAUACUAUUGUUUUUAUAGAUGGGAUUUAUCUUAAUUAUAAAAAGGCAAACCUGAUUAUUCCAAGCUCUUCUUUGUUAUAGUAGUAAUAUGCUACAUUAUGUAUUGAUACACUGUUAAAGUGAAGAAAGUUCAUUCUAUAAUAGACACUAAAUGCAUACACAUCAUUUAAACUUCCAUUCUGUGUUAUUUAAAAAUAAAAGAUUAAUCUUAGAGUAGGCAAGUCCUUCAGAAGCCUGUGAAUGUAACCUGUAUGUAAUGGAUUCAAGCAAGAUACUCCUCCAUCCCUCCAGCUCUGGCCAAAGACCAUCACAAGAAAAAUUAAUAGAAUUAUAUUCCUUCAGCACCACAUGUAUUGUCCCUUGAACUGGGCACAAUCUACAGACACAUUUGCUCCAGGUUUUUCUAGUAAGCUACUUGUAUUAGACCAGAGCAGAAAGCUGUACUGCUUUCAUAUGAUAUAGAAAUUCCUUGGCUCUUAUGAAGGCAACAGGGAAAGGUUUUGGCUUUAAAACAGACUAGUUUCUAAGGCAGGAAGAUGAGUUUACUCAGUAGAACUUAAAAAAGAGAAUAAUUGUAUCUAUAAGAAAUUUGUUCUACUGUUCUUUUGGAUUCUCUCACUGUCUCUAUCUACAGUCCCAAAUCUCCAGACUCUAAGCCAUGAAGUAUGAAAAAGGUAUAUGUCUUCUAUCUUCAGCAGUUAUAGAAGUUUUGAAUACAGAUACUGCCUAAGGAAGCCGGAACCUGGAGGUAGGCCCUAUGGGCCCUUUCCUCCCUUCUCUUUCCCCUGCCUUUUCUUUCUUUGUUUUUAAGCAAAGAACAGGUGACCAAAAAUGAUAUUGAAAGAUGGGUCUUUUAGGAGUGGCUACUCUAGAAGUUCCUUGGUCUUCCCCAUAAACAUUAGCAGAUGUCUCUUGCAAGUACUCCAUUGCUUCUUGGAGAAGAUGCCUAGUAGAUUCUAAACUCAGCCUAGAUUGCCAGAAAAUCUGGACUAGGAGAGAGCUGGGUAGUAAGGAAAUGAAUGUAAAAUUAUUAUAAAAUCAUCUUACAAAGUUUCUUAUGCUUUGAAGUUGAACUAUCAUAAAACUAUAAUAAGAUAAUAAUAACUUCAGAUUUAAAUAUUUUUCAAUGAAUACUUGUAAAUCUUUUAUGUCUUAAGUAUUUAUUUUGUAUAGAGGAAAUAAAUGGUUGAAUAGACAUGAGAUGUGCAAAAUUAGAGAAGCUAUCCUAAAUGUCCAUAGGGAUUAAUUGUGACCAACUUGUAGCAAAGCAUUCCAAGAUCAUGUUGGUCUGAUCAGCCAUAGUCAGAUGCACUGUAACUUGACUCUAACAUAGUGAUGUCAUGUCUUCUUUGAGUAUUAAGAACAACAUCCACAACCUAUAUUUGAUUUAUACUUUACUUUGUGUACCUUUCUAUACUUUUGUUGGAUUGGAGACACUUUAGACACCUCAAAAUUUUUCAGUGACUCUCCCCAGCUGCUUCAGGUUAGAGGUGUAAAGAAUUAUAGAGUUGGAUUAAAAAAAAAAAAAGGCAGACCCUUGCCUGUAGGGGUCAGGCAGAACUGAAUAUAAUCAGCACAUGUUGCUUCACAACAAGAAACCCAUUUAGAAGACAAAAGUGAGUGCUCUACAUACUCCUCUUUCUCAGAUCCAGCAGUGCUUUGAUAUUGUUACAUGUAUUUGAACAGGAAUUCCUUCUACAUUACUUCAGACAAAUGGUCAUUCAGAUUUUGCUAAACCUACAGGGCAAAAGACAACUAUUCCAGUUUUGAAAAAGUUGUAUGUAGAUUUAUUUCUUUGACUAUGUUUUUGCCCAUUGUGUAUAAUUCUGCUCUUUAUGACCAUGCUAGUCUAAACCCUUUUCCUUGUAACAAUUCUACAAGUAUUUGAAGACAAAUAGUCAAACCAUACUACCUCUACUCCAUGUCUUCUCAGAAGCAGUAUUUGCUCUUCCUUCACAUCAGUGGUGUACAAUUCACUCUGGCCUGGAGGAAAAAAAAUAAAUUCAAUCCUCAUUAUUAAUAUUUUCUCCAUCACUUUGUCAAAUCUAGUCCACCAAUAAUGCAAUAAAUUCUACCCUUAUUCAUAAUAUUUAUCAAUUUAAGUGUAAAUGUUCAUAUUUGAAAUUUAACAAAGAAAAAAUACAUAUGUUCAUUAUAUAUUUUAAAAGAAUAACAAGUUGUACUCAAUACAUUUGCAGUUUUGUAAGCAAUCAUCUUUUUAUAAUUCUACUAUGAUAUCAAAGUGUUAUCAAAGUACAUUUUAAAAAUUAAAUAUGAAAUAAUUUUUUAUGUGUGUACUGAGGCAAUUGAGGUUAAGUGACUUGCCCAGGGUCGCAUAGCUAGGAAGUGUUAUGUGUCUGAGCCCAAAUUUGAACUCAGGUCCUGACUUCAGGGCUGGUGCGCUAUCCACUGCAUCACCUAACUUUCUCUUGAAAUAAACUUUUUAAAAAAGAAAAUUUACUAAUUUAUUCUCAGAUUGGAGUUGAAUCCACCAUAACUUUACUUCAAAUGAUUCUCUUUUUUAUGUAUUUUAUUUUUCCUAGUUAUAUAUAAAACCAUUUUUAAACAUUUGUUUUUAAAACUUUGAGUUCCAGAUGCUGUCUUCUUCUUUUCAUACUACAUCCCACAUUGAGAAGAUUCAUGUAAAGUUAUGCAAAACAUUUUCAUGUUCAUGAAAAGUCAUGUUAUUUUUUUUAAGAAAAGAAACAAAACAUAGAUAUUUCCCUCCCCCCCCCAAAAAAAAAACUCAAGAAAAAUAAAAUAAAAAAAAAGUAUGAUUCAAUCUGUAUGCAGACACAAUCAGUUUUGGUUAUUGACAGCAUU